This 497-nucleotide ribosomal RNA is filed under the name uncultured bacterium. Its description in RNAcentral is "partial 16S ribosomal RNA". It matches the Rfam family "Bacterial small subunit ribosomal RNA", at positions 28 to 507 of the family's 1533-position model. The record is from RNAcentral.
GAUGAACGCUGGCGGCGUGCCUAAUACAUGCCAGUCGAGCGAACGGACGAGAAGCUUGCUUUUCUGAUGUUAGCGGCGGACGGGUGAGUAACACGUGGAUAACCUACCUAUAAGACUGGGAUAACUUCGGGAAACCGGAACUAAUACCGGAUAAUAUUUUGAACCGCAUGGUUCAAAAGUGAAAGACGGUCUUGCUGUCACUUAUAGAUGGAUCCGCGCUGCAUUAGCUAGUUGGUAAGGUAACGGCUUACCAAGGCAACGAUGCAUAGCCGACCUGAGAGGGUGAUCGGCCACACUGGAACUGAGACACGGUCCAGACUCCUACGGGAGGCAGCAGUAGGGAAUCUUCCGCAAUGGGCGAAAGCCUGACGGAGCAACGCCGCGUGAGUGAUGAAGGUCUUCGGAUCGUAAAACUCUGUUAUUAGGGAAGAACAUAUGUGUAAGUAACUGUGCGCAUCUUGACGGUACCUAAUCAGAAAGCCACGGCUAACUACGUG